This 871-nucleotide long non-coding RNA is filed under the name Heterocephalus glaber (naked mole-rat). Its description in RNAcentral is "lncRNA (ENSHGLG00000037958.1)". The record is from RNAcentral. Lineage: Eukaryota; Metazoa; Chordata; Mammalia; Rodentia; Bathyergidae.
GAACGUUUCCAUGUGGAAACUCUGGGCUGGGGUUGAGCAGCAGGGCCCUGUUGGUCAGGACACCGUGACUGCAGUUGCCCCAGUCCCCACCUCUCCCUAUCACACUGCUGCUGUCAAACCCAAGGUGCUGAAGAAUCACCUGGAGGUGUUCGACUUUGUGACCUCUGCCUGCCACAGUGAAUCCAAGAAUCCACAGCUGCGAUUUGUGUUAGGGUACGGAGUUGAAGAAUGUGAAGCAGACCUUGGCUCCCCUCACGGGGUCACAGGCCACGGGGACAGGCAGACUCAAGGAACUGAACUUGUGUAUGUGAGAAGGAGCUACGAUUGCUGCACCAAUCGGGGUACUGAGAUGGAGGAUACUGGGGUGCACGGGGCCUUGUUAAAUCCCCGUGGUGAGGGGCACUUCCCUGAGGUCCUCACCCUCUGGGGAAGGGGCUGGGGGGCAAAUGGGAUUCUGGCCCAAGUGAUCUCCAAUCUCCACCCUAAGGGAUGGAUGCAGAUGGAAAGUCAGGAGGUGUGGGCUCCCCUUCUGGCUCUGGUAACCCCUCGGGUUCCCCACCUCUGUGGAUUUCACCCCCUCAACCCCCACCCAGAGCUCACCAAACCCUGCAGGCUGUCUUGGCCUUGACCUGCGCUGCUUUCUCACUGUCUCUCCCAUGUCCUCUGGCCCCUGGCUACUCCUCACUCUGUGCCUGGUGUGUCGGUGCUCCGUGGAGCCCUGAGGGUGUGCUCAGGGGCCGCCCUCACAAGUUACCCCGUCUCUGGACCUGAGCCUGCAGGACCAUUUGCUCCUACAACCAUAUUCAGGAGAUUGGUCCACUGCUUUCCUGUCCUCACAUCCCCACUGGUCUUCCAGAGUGGGGGCCCAAAA